AAUAAAUUAUUAUAAUGUCACAGUAGUGGUUCAUUAGACCGCUAGAUGGGGUAUAUGUACCAAGCUAUUAUUUAAUUAUAAUUUAUACAUAUAAUAAUUAAAGUGUAUAUAUGGUAUAUGAAUGUAUAUUAUAUGACAUUAUAAAAAUAUAUUUUACCUUUCUAUUUCUAAUUUCCUAUAUUUGAAAACUAAAUCAUAGUUAUAAAAUGUAGUAGACACAUAAUUUACUAUAUUAACUAGACACAUAUAACACACAUUUACAAGAAAUCAAAUAAAAUUAUUUUUAAUUACUUUUUUUAAUAGGAUAUAUUGUUAUUUGAUAUUAAAGUAUCAUUAUUCAUGGCGAAUACAAGCAUUGAAUGUAAUGAUUUGUAUCUUAAUAAUUCAACAGAUCGUAAUAAUGAAUUCUAGCAGCAAAAUCACCAAGUUAAUGAAUUAAAAUGUCAUAAGGAGAUGUAAGAGUUGGAAUAGUCUUACACUGAUUUCUUAUACAAGUAACACAGGUCGACAAAGUAACACAUUAUUCUUAUCCUAGAAAAUUCCUUAGUUAAGCGUUUCGCGAAUGUGCCGUGAUAUUGAUAAUAUAAAAGCGUAAACAUUGCACGGAAACUCCGUUUCUCUCUUAAGUCUUAAGUAUGACAUUUUCAGAAAAUCAAUAGUUGGCGAUGUAAUCCCCUGGUAAUGUUACUUAAUUACUUUAGUCCACAUAUCAAGUUAACGUAUGUGCAAUUCGGGCUUUAGGUAAAUAAUGGAGCACACUACCUAUACUAUAUUUAGGACGCGUGAUCUGAAGCAGAGCAUUUCACGAAUUUCAGCGAGGAUGUUUGAGAGAUGCUAAUUAAUAUUGACUCACAUCGGCGUAUCACGUUUACACGAUUUAAUCGUGUGAUGCGUUCAUCUUUAUUCGAGGUCACAAAUAUAAUUUGAUAUAUCUGCAUUCAUUCGCAUUUUAACAAUGCCGCUUGUGCAGCAAUCUCUCGUAUCAGGAAACUUCAUGGAUUAUAGCGUAUGAAUGAUGUUGCUUUGUCGACUUGUGUUAUCUGUAUAAGAAAUCAGUGUAGGUAAGAUUAUUCCGACAUUAUUCUUACAUCUUCUUGCAGAUGAGAUUUUAAUUCAACUUGAUGAUUUUGCUGCUAGAAUUCAUUAUUACGACUUGUGUUGAACUAUUAAAAUACAAAUCAUUACAUUCAAUAUGCAUUCGUAUUCCUAUUGUAUUCGUGAAAAUAAAAUUUUAUCAAUGGAUUAUUUAAAUUUGAAUUUUUGUAUUGCUCAAGUUUCAAGAUAUAUAACUAUUAUUAUAAUUAUAAUAUAUUGUCAUAUUAUUGUCACACGAUUCAUGAUUUUAAUAAGAUGAAAGAAAAAUAUUCCAAAAACUAGCGGUUUAAUAAAUUUUAAAAAUAUAAGUGUAUAUAUGGUAUCUUCGUUUUUCUCGUAAUCACGAAGAUAUUUAACUUUGAGCAUUAAAACUGUAGUUAGCCUGCCAUUAAAUUUUUGCGAACGAAAAGUUAAGCGUAAAUUCGUCAAAGGACGUGCCAUUAAAGGCGCAUUUGAGACCUUUCCGUUUUAACUUGAAGGAAAUGUAACUUUCUUGCUUCUUUAAAGAGUUACUUUUAAAUCCCAUUUCCGAGGUCCGUGUAGUACAACGUGCAGUUUUAAAGAGUGCGGUUAAGAAAAUUUUACUAUUUUUCUCAAAGCAUGUACAUCUCGCACAGUAAGCUGAAAAGCUGAGAGCAGAAACUUUCCAAUCUGUGUGAUCCUUAAAUCGCAUGAAGAAGUUUUACGAGCAUUUUUAUUUUAAGCACGACAUCUAACGACAGCUUCGCAUUGCGAGUGCGAAAUAUGGAAAUCAGCUUAACGGAAAAGUGAGAUUCGCAUAGAAAACAUGCGGGUGGCAGCGAUAUGUCUCUCCCCGGUGUCCACUAUUUGAGCAACAAGUGUGCCGAUGGAGGGGUUCAAGAAAAUAUGCUGCUCUUCGCGCGAUAAACUUUGACAUAAGAUCUACACAAUGCAUUAAGGAAUAACCAUUGGUCAGGAAAAAAAUGAUCGAUCGACGCCGAUAAAUAUUUUUACGAAACAAUUGCCACGGAUCGAAGAGAUGUGUAAAAAAAAAAACGAAAUGAAGAAGGACAUAAUAUAUUGGUUGGACAUUUGUGUGCGGUCGAUGAACCGGAAGCUUCAGUCAAGGACCACUGUCAUCGAUUUUCACCAGUAUGUCGCGAUUGACGAAUAAUAGAGUGUGUCGUUGUAAGAGAAUCAUGACGCGAAACCGACUGAGGAGAAGAGAAAAGGGAAAGGAAACUGAAUGACAAAUUAAAAUUUAAUGUAUCGCGAAAGAGUGGCCGGUGUGCCGCAGAGAGGAACAUUACCUUGAGCUGUACGCGCACGCGGAAUGAAAAUUCUCCGCUUGUCAGACUGUCAGAGAAAGAAAUAUCCGGCAGGGGAGAGGUAGGAUAACUUGCCUGUGCCGUCAGGGAAUUCUUAUUUUCUCUCUUCCCUUACCCGCUCACCGCGUAAAGCGUUUUUGCUAUCCAUUUUCCCGGCACGUUCAAUACUUUAGGUAGAGAUGCUCCGAAAUUCUCAUUGCUGCAAAGAAGGCAAGUGACGACGCAGGGAAGACACGCAAGAAAAUAAGUUCCAGAUGUGCAAAAUAACGCUGCUCUCCCCUUUUGUUUUUUCUCUUCCAGAAAAUCUUUCCCUCUCUAGGAAAUCUUCCGGAAAAUAUAUAUAAGAUCCGUGGGAUGAGUGGGCGUAAAUAAUGAAGGAUCAUUGGCGGUAGCGUAAGCUGUCAUAGUAAUUGAAGUCAUAGAAUUGAUGUGCUAGAAAACAUAUUCCUAAAAACUUUUUCGUUUCUUAAAAACUAAGCUUUCAUACGUAUGUUAAUAUAGUAGAAGCAUAAAUACGCGUUACACAUCUUGUUAAAAAAAAAUAGCAAAAGAGAGAUAAGAGAUAAUAAAGAAAGCAAUAGAUGAUAAAACAAAGAGAUAAUAAAAAAUAUAAGAAAGAGAUUAUACAUUGUUAUAUAUACAUAUAUAUAUUAUUGAAGUAUAGAUUUGUUAUUCUUUAAGACAAUCUUUAUAUAAAUUUUAAUUUUGCGUACAUGAAUUAUAUAGGACAAUUUUAGAUAAAAAUUGAAAUAAUUUUAUUUUUCUAUAAUACAAUUUAAUUGAUCGCACGAGCAGUUAUAAAUUUCGACAAAAAGCUGUUAUUUAGACAAUCUAAAAUUAAGAGGCUUAUGAAUAUAUUUCGUAACAUACAUAUAUUUAUUGCUUUAUUUGCAAUAUUUCUGCGCAACUUCCAAUUUAAACACAGUUUUAUUUCCAGUCUCUUAUUAACGUAGAAAAUUAUUGGCGAUAUUUAGAGGACUUGAUCGAAUAGAAUUCAUCAACGAUUAAUACAAAUCUAUAAUCUACAGUUUAUUAUGUGUAACGACCGACUGAUCGAAGAGCGACAUAUUUUUACAAUAUUUUUUAGAGUAACUUUAAUCGAGCAUGAGAUGAAAUCGAUAUUAAAUGCGUAUACGCGAAAAUAUGCGAUACGUUGAGAGGGUACCACAAUUAUACCGUAAAUAAAUUUAUGUUUUGCAAUUACACGAAAGGUGUUGCGCCCCUGCAUCGACUUUUGCGGUCUCUUCGUUAUUGACUCGUAAAAGGCCCCUGAAAAACAUUAAAGUCAGCAGGGAACGAGUAAACCCAAUGUGUUCCCCUUCUCUUCUGCCCCUCAAAAGAAUGUAUUAUUCAUGCCUCUAUGCGAGACUCUGAGAAAAUUCUCUGUGUUCUCACAUUUCGAUUCAUCAUACACCUAAGAAUUUAUGUUCUUUCUGAACACAAAACGAGGAGCACGAUAACAAUAAUCGAUUAUUUCUCGUGAUCGAUUAUCUUUAAUAUAGAAAGUUAUAUUCGCGUUAACGUCAAGUAUUUUGAUGGAUGCUACUAAUUCGUAAACAAUUGACAUGUUACCGUUAAUAAAUCUUUAAAAGCAAAA
This is a long non-coding RNA of Cataglyphis hispanica, 3981 nucleotides long. RefSeq lists it as uncharacterized. Lineage: Eukaryota; Metazoa; Arthropoda; Insecta; Hymenoptera; Formicidae. The transcript is spliced from 2 exons. The record is from RefSeq and is a predicted model, not a curated record.